This 253-nucleotide ribosomal RNA is filed under the name uncultured bacterium. RNAcentral describes it as "partial 16S ribosomal RNA". It matches the Rfam family "Bacterial small subunit ribosomal RNA", at positions 524 to 776 of the family's 1533-position model. The record is from RNAcentral.
UACGGAGGGGGCUAGCGUUGUUCGGAAUUACUGGGCGUAAAGCGCACGUAGGCGGCUUUGUAAGUUAGAGGUGAAAGCCCGGGGCUCAACUCCGGAAUUGCCUUUAAGACUGCAUCGCUAGAAUUGUGGAGAGGUAAGUGGAAUUCCGAGUGUAGAGGUGAAAUUCGUAGAUAUUCGGAAGAACACCAGUGGCGAAGGCGACUUACUGGACAGAUAUUGACGCUGGGGUGCGAAAGCGUGGGGAGCAAACAGG